AGUGAACGCUGGCGGUAGGCCUACCCCAUCCAGUUGGACGGCAGCACAGUUAGAGCUUUGUCCUACGGGUGGGGAGUGGCGGACGGGUGAGGGAUACAACCGAAUCCUCUUUUUUGGGGGGGAUAACGGAGGGAAACCUUCGCCAAAUACGCAUACGACCCACGGGUGGAAGCAGGGGAACCUUGGAACCUUCGCGGUUUGAUUAGGCGAUGUCGGAUUAGCUAGUUGGCGGGGUAAAGGCCCACCAAGGCGACGAUCCGUAGCUGGUCUGAGAGGAUGAUCAGCCACACUGGAACUGAGACACGGUCCAGACUCCUACGGGAGGCAGCAGUGGGGAAUAUUGGACAAAGGGCGCAAGCCUGAUCCAGCCAUACCGCGUGGGUGAAGAAGGCCUUCGGGUUGUAAAGCCCUUUUGUUGGGAAAGAAAAGCAGCAGGUUAAUACCCCGCUGUUCUGACGGUACCCAAAGAAUAAGCACCGGCUAACUUCGUG
Molecule: ribosomal RNA, 491 nt
Filed under: uncultured bacterium
Lineage: Bacteria
Description: partial 16S ribosomal RNA
Rfam family: Bacterial small subunit ribosomal RNA
Source: RNAcentral